GCAAACGCCACGUGACUCUCGGCGUCGUGAGCGCUCGGCUUCUGCUGCUUUCUCCGGUGGCGGCAGCUGGUCUACCGCACACCCUCUCUUCAGGAGUCUUAUGCCCCCCAAAUUCAACUUUAUUCCCCGUGCCACACCUCUUGGUGGACACAUAUUUAAAACAGCCUUGUAAGCGGAGGAGCUCCACCCUAUCUGCAACCUUAAAUCCACUUCUGUGCGCUCACUCCUGAACCAAUAAGACUGCACCCUCCUUCACACACAUUCGUCUCAGCCAUAGCUCCACGCCGAGGCUCCCGUUCCAUACAGCUACCCAUGCUCUAUCCACUGCCUCUGCUUCUUCUUUGAUGUCCAUUAUACUACCGAACCCAGACUUACAGACCUGGUCUGGCUAAUCUCCCUGUUGCUGUGUGCAAGAAAGCAGCAGAUAGAAGAAGCUGAGACACUGAAGAGACUCAACCUUCCCUCCCUUCUUGUUUUCCAUUGGUUUAUUUUUACACAUCUUUACACGUACCCAAAAGACUAAUGUCAGGCCGUGGUAGUACUCGGGGUUCACGGGUGGAAUGCCCGUUAGCUGACUUCAGUUUUUAAACUGCUGUUCUCGGUGCCAGUGACAUGGAGGCUCCUAGAACAAGGCUGAGUAGCCAGCGGUGCUCAGUACGUGGAAAGAGGAAAACAGGAAGAUCAAUAUGAAGCAAGGCCCUCCAUCUCCUGGCCACACACAUCCCAGCUGGACUUCAGGAGCCCUCAGCUUUCACUCAGUGUACUUGCCAGCCAGAGGCCAUCAACUGUCUAUAGUUUGGGGGAUCAUGACCACUUCCCCACUCCACGCUGGAAUGUUGACAGCUGAUCUUGUGCUGAUUUUGUGCAGGCCGCCACAGCCACCAGGAGCUCAUGACAUGAUGGUCCCCUCUUGUCUAGAAGACUGUUUCCCAUCCAUUCUCUUGCCUCUGGCUGUUCUGCUCCCUCUUCCACAAUGAUCUCUGAUCCUUGGGAAUAAGGAUGAUACAAAUAUCUCAUUUAUGAAUGAACACUCCACUAACACUCAUUCUCUGUCUUGUGAGUUUCUGCAUCAACCACUACCCACUACACACAGCAACUC
This is a long non-coding RNA of Meriones unguiculatus (Mongolian gerbil), 1099 nucleotides long. RefSeq lists it as uncharacterized. The record is from RefSeq and is a predicted model, not a curated record. The transcript is spliced from 3 exons. Lineage: Eukaryota; Metazoa; Chordata; Mammalia; Rodentia; Muridae.